UGGGCUGGGGCUCAGUGGCAGAGUGCCUGCCUGUCAUGCCUGAGGCCCUGGGUUCCAUCCCCAGCACCACAA
RNAcentral lists this transfer RNA (72 nucleotides) under Marmota monax (woodchuck). It matches the Rfam family "tRNA". From Rfam's summary of the family: Transfer RNA (tRNA) molecules are approximately 80 nucleotides in length. Lineage: Eukaryota; Metazoa; Chordata; Mammalia; Rodentia; Sciuridae. RNAcentral also lists the same sequence under 3 other names. The record is from Rfam by way of RNAcentral.